UGGAAGCAUAGUGAUAUGUUAAGCUAACUUGUACUAAUUACCCGUGAGGCUUAACCAUACAACGCCAAACGCGUUU
RNAcentral lists this ribosomal RNA (76 nucleotides) under Pseudoalteromonas sp. SR41-6. RNAcentral's name for it is "partial 23S ribosomal RNA". RNAcentral also lists the same sequence under 1 other name. Lineage: Bacteria; Pseudomonadati; Pseudomonadota; Gammaproteobacteria; Alteromonadales; Pseudoalteromonadaceae. The record is from RNAcentral.